UAGGGAAUCUUCCGCAAUGGGCGAAAGCCUGACGGAGCAACGCCGCGUGAGUGAUGAAGGUCUUCGGAUCGUAAAACUCUGUUAUUAGGGAAGAACAAAUGUGUAAGUAACUGUGCACGUCUUGACGGUACCUAAUCAGAAAGCCACGGCUAACUACGUGCCAGCAGCCGCGGUAAUACGUAGGUGGCAAGCGUUAUCCGGAAUUAUUGGGCGUCAAGCGCGCGUAGGCGGUUUCUUAAGUCUGAUGUGAAAGCCCACGGCUCAACCGUGGAGGGUCAUUGGAAACUGGGAAACUUGAGUGCAGAAGAGGAAAGUGGAAUUCCAUGUUUAGCGGUGAAAUGCGCAGAGAUAUGGAGGAACACCAGUGGCGAAGGCGACUUUCUGGUCUGUAACUGACGCUGAUGUGCGAAAGCGUGGGGAUCAAACAGG
RNAcentral lists this ribosomal RNA (429 nucleotides) under bacterium. RNAcentral describes it as "partial 16S ribosomal RNA". It matches the Rfam family "Bacterial small subunit ribosomal RNA", at positions 355 to 776 of the family's 1533-position model. The record is from RNAcentral.